Molecule: ribosomal RNA, 327 nt
Filed under: uncultured eukaryote
Lineage: Eukaryota
Description: partial 18S ribosomal RNA
Rfam family: Eukaryotic small subunit ribosomal RNA
Source: RNAcentral
CCCUUAGAUGUUCUGGGCCGCACGCGCGCUACACUGACGAAUGCAACGAGCUUAUAACCUUGGCCGAGAGGUCUGGGUAAUCUCCAAAUUUCGUCGUGAUGGGGAUAGAUUAUUGCAAUUAUUAAUCUUCAACGAGGAAUGCCUAGUAAGCGCAAGUCAUCAGCUUGCGUUGAUUACGUCCCUGCCCUUUGUACACACCGCCCGUCGCUCCUACCGAUUGAAUGGUCCGGUGAAGCGUUCGGACCGUGGCCUUUGGACGGUUCGCCGUCUGUUGGCUGCGGGAAGUUCGUUAAACCUUAUCAUUUAGAGGAAGGAGAANUCGUAACA